UUUAAUCGAAGAGGUCGCAGUCGACAAAAGUAAAAUAACCGAGUUAUCACAUAUUGGCUAUGAGGUUAUUUGAAAGGGGAGAUUGCCGAAGAAAGAAUUUUAUAUGUGAUUUUUCUUUCUGGGGCUUAGCUUAAUAGGCUAUGAACUGUCAUAAGUAUGAAAGCUUAUGGGGCGCUAUCGACAAAA
Molecule: non-coding RNA, 186 nt
Filed under: Apilactobacillus ozensis
Lineage: Bacteria; Bacillati; Bacillota; Bacilli; Lactobacillales; Lactobacillaceae
Also listed under: 1 other name
Description: Lactobacillus ozensis Lysine sequence
Rfam family: Lysine riboswitch aptamer
About the family: Riboswitches are metabolite binding domains within certain messenger RNAs that serve as precision sensors for their corresponding targets.
Source: RNAcentral